This 433-nucleotide ribosomal RNA is filed under the name uncultured bacterium. RNAcentral's name for it is "partial 16S ribosomal RNA". It matches the Rfam family "Bacterial small subunit ribosomal RNA", at positions 29 to 507 of the family's 1533-position model. The record is from RNAcentral.
AACGAACGCUGGCGGCAGGCCUAACACAUGCAAGUCGAGCGCGCCCUCCGGGGUGAGUGGCGGACGGGUGAGUAACGCGUGGGAACGUGCCCUUUUCUACGGAAUAGCCUUGGGAAACUGAGAGUAAUACCGUAUACGCCCCUUGGGGGCAAGAUAUAACGGAAAAGGAUCGGCCCGCGUUGUUUUAGCUAGUUGGUGGGGUAAUGGCCUACCAAGGCGACGAUACAUAGCUGGUUUGAGAGGAUGAUCAGCCACACUGGGACUGAGACACGGCCCAGACUCCUACGGGAGGCGGCAGUGGGGAAUCUUAGACAAUGGGGGCAACCCUGAUCUAGCCAUGCCGCGUGAGUGAUGAAGGCCUGAGGGUUGUAAAGCUCUUUCAGCUGGGAAGAUAAUGACGGUACCAGCAGAAGAAGCACCGGCUAACUCCGUG